RNAcentral lists this ribosomal RNA (259 nucleotides) under uncultured bacterium. Its description in RNAcentral is "partial 16S ribosomal RNA". It matches the Rfam family "Bacterial small subunit ribosomal RNA", at positions 795 to 1052 of the family's 1533-position model. The record is from RNAcentral.
CCACACAGUAAACGAUGAAUACUCGCUGUUUGCGAUAUACAGUAAGCGGCCAAGCGAAAGCGUUAAGUAUUCCACCUGGGGAGUACGCCGGCAACGGUGAAACUCAAAGGAAUUGACGGGGGCCCGCACAAGCGGAGGAACAUGUGGUUUAAUUCGAUGAUACGCGAGGAACCUUACCCGGGAUUGAAAUGUAUAUGCUGACAGGUAGAAAUACUUGUUGUUCCCUUCGGGGACAUAUAUGUAGGUGCUGCAUGGUUGU